UGUCUGAACGCUGUGAGCGCGAAUCCGUGGCGGUAGCUAAGACUAACUCCAAAAUCUCAAGAUCGUCACAUGGUCAGACAAUUCGAUUCUGUACUCAGAGUCAAAUAGCUCUCGAGAGCACAAGUCAUCGCUACCCAAGGACUCGGAGAGUUGAGUGGCAUGCCCCACGUCGGAGCUCAAGGCCCGAAGCUCAACAGAAAAUGCUCAAAUCCCAGUCUAGAUAAGCAAGAAUUUGAGCUACCUGUGAGCAAAAGUAACAGUCAAAUUUUGGUCCACGUCAACUCCUCGAUCCUCAAGAUCAUCAUGGAAAACACCAAAUGCAAACGAAGACUGCCCCACAACACAUUCCCCGAUGAAGGUAAUGUGCUUUACCUGGUCCUAGCAUUCACAAGCGAUCCUAGCAGCUAUAAAAGCAAAAAACUAUUCCUGUGACGCAUAUCACCACGUUGAGUGGGACCCUUUUAUCGUUGCAUCGAAAUUGCACAAGCCACUCGACACUUCGACGUACUAGUUGACUUAUACAGUGGGUCGCAGUGCAAUAUCUAGUGCACGAUCUUGUGUAUGCCAUAGUGGUGACCCAUUGUCUCUCUGUUACGAUUCACCGAACACUUCCACAUAUUCUGGUGCAGUAACUUGCAAGGCACUUCGCCAAAAUCUUCAAAGUCGUCCUGCACGGUAAGCGAGUAGAAUUUUGCAUCUAUUAUGAGGUAGCAGGGUCACGAAGUAAUCCAGGUGCAACGUUGACGAGAAUGCCACCUCGGAUUGGUCAACCAGAUAUUGAGAAUCAAAGGAGC
Molecule: long non-coding RNA, 794 nt
Filed under: Physcomitrium patens
Lineage: Eukaryota; Viridiplantae; Streptophyta; Bryopsida; Funariales; Funariaceae
Description: long non-coding RNA (PPAT_LNC012783)
Source: RNAcentral